CAUGGCCUACGGGGGGCAGCAGUAGGGAAUUUUCGUCAAUGGGCGCAAGCCUGAACGAGCAAUGCCGCGUGAACGAGGAAGGUCUUCGGAUCGUAAAGUUCUGUUGAAGGGGAAAAAGAGCGGAGAGAGGAAAUGAACUCCGAUUGAUAUUACCCUUCGAGGAAGUCACGGCUAACUACGUGCCAGCAGCCGCGGUAAUACGUAGGUGGCGAGCGUUAUCCGGAAUGAUUGGGCGUAAAGGGUGCGUAGGCGGCAGUGCAGGUCUGAAGUGAAAGCCCCGGGCUUAACCCGGGAACUGCUUUGGA
RNAcentral lists this ribosomal RNA (305 nucleotides) under uncultured bacterium. RNAcentral describes it as "bacterial SSU rRNA". It matches the Rfam family "Bacterial small subunit ribosomal RNA", at positions 333 to 630 of the family's 1533-position model. The record is from RNAcentral.